Molecule: ribosomal RNA, 448 nt
Filed under: uncultured bacterium
Lineage: Bacteria
Description: bacterial SSU rRNA
Rfam family: Bacterial small subunit ribosomal RNA
Source: RNAcentral
CCCAGACUCCUACGGGAGGCAGCAGUGGGGCCUCUUGCACAAUGGGGGCCACACUGAUGCAGCGCCGCCGCGUGAGCGAAGAAGUAUUUCGGUAUGUAAAGCUCUCUCAGCAGGGAAGAAAAAAAUGACGGUACCUGAGUAAGAAGCACCGGCUAAAUACGAGCCAGCAGCCGCGGUAAUACGUAGGGAGCAAGCGUUGUCCGGAAUUACUGGGCGUAAAGGGCGCGUAGGUGGGCGCUUAAGUCAGGUGUUAAAACUCCGGGCUCAACCUGGAUACUGCACUUGAAACUGGGUGUCUUGAGGGCAGGAGAGGAAAGUGGAAUUCCUAGUGUAGCGGUGAAAUGCGUAGAUAUUAGGCGGAACACCAGUGGCGAAGGCGACUUUCUGGACUGUACCUGACGCUGAGGCGCGAAAGCGUGUGUAGCGAACGGGAUUAGAUCCCCGCGUA